GAAGAAGUAGGUAAGGGAGGAAGAGAGAUAUCAGAAAGAAAAGAAAGAGAAGAAGGAAAAGAAAGAGAAGAAGGAAGAGAAGGAGGAAGAAGAGGAGAAGAAGAAGAAGACUCAUGGGAGAAGAAGAAGGAAGCCAUGGAAGCACCACCAUCUCAUCUUCAUCAUCACCAACUUCAUCAUCUUCUUCUACUAGGUGAGUUCUUAGAU
Molecule: long non-coding RNA, 207 nt
Filed under: Lathyrus oleraceus (garden pea)
Lineage: Eukaryota; Viridiplantae; Streptophyta; Magnoliopsida; Fabales; Fabaceae
Description: Pisum sativum (pea) long non-coding RNA (PSAT_LNC006331)
Source: RNAcentral